RNAcentral lists this transfer RNA (69 nucleotides) under Diaphanosoma dubium. RNAcentral's name for it is "tRNA-Ser". It matches the Rfam family "tRNA". From Rfam's summary of the family: Transfer RNA (tRNA) molecules are approximately 80 nucleotides in length. Their secondary structure includes four short double-helical elements and three loops (D, anti-codon, and T loops). Lineage: Eukaryota; Metazoa; Arthropoda; Branchiopoda; Diplostraca; Sididae. The record is from RNAcentral.
AGUGGUUUAGUUUAAAGAAAGCGCUUGUUUUGAAAACAAGAAAUAAGAGUUCAAAACUCUUAACCAUUU